UGGCAGCGAUGCGAAGAAGUGGGUUACUUCGACUGCGGAUCGAAAGGUUCCGGGUUCGAGUCCCGGUCGCCCGA
Molecule: transfer RNA, 74 nt
Filed under: Frankiaceae bacterium
Lineage: Bacteria; Bacillati; Actinomycetota; Actinomycetes; Frankiales; Frankiaceae
Description: tRNA-OTHER
Source: RNAcentral